RNAcentral lists this small nucleolar RNA (139 nucleotides) under Triticum aestivum (bread wheat). Its description in RNAcentral is "Small nucleolar RNA Z247". It matches the Rfam family "Small nucleolar RNA Z247". Rfam says of the family: Z247 is a member of the C/D class of snoRNA which contain the C (UGAUGA) and D (CUGA) box motifs. Lineage: Eukaryota; Viridiplantae; Streptophyta; Magnoliopsida; Poales; Poaceae. The record is from Rfam by way of RNAcentral.
CCCAUCGAUGAUGAUGAGCUGAUCUCCUACAUCACCUCCGGCCUCGACAUGGAGUACCAACCUCUCUUCUCCGCCAACGACGCCCGCACCGAGCCCAUCAGCAUCGACGAUCUCUACGCCCAGAUGAGUAACUUCGAUC